AGCGAACGCUGGCGGCAGGCCUAACACAUGCAAGUCGAGCGGCCGUAGCAAUACGGCAGCGGCAGACGGGAGAGUAACACGUGGGAACGCGCCCUUCGGUCUGGAAUAACCCAGGGAAACUUGGGCUAAUACCGGAUACGCCCUUACGGGGAAAGAUUUAUUGCCGAAGGAACGGCCCGCGUCCGAUUAGCUAGUUGGUGAGGUAACGGCUCACCAAGGCGACGAUCGGUAGCUGGUCUGAGAGGAUGGCCAGCCUCACUGGGACUGAGACACGGCCCAGACUCCUACGGGAGGCAGCAGUGGGGAAUAUUGGACAAUGGGCGCAAGCCUGAUCCAGCCAUGCCGCGUGGGUGAUGAAGGCCCUAGGGUUGUAAAGCCCUUUCAGCGGGGAAGAUAAUGACGGUACCCGCAGAAGAAGCCCCGGCUAACUUCGUGC
This 436-nucleotide ribosomal RNA is filed under the name uncultured bacterium. Its description in RNAcentral is "bacterial SSU rRNA". It matches the Rfam family "Bacterial small subunit ribosomal RNA", at positions 29 to 508 of the family's 1533-position model. The record is from RNAcentral.